GGUUGGAUGUGAAGCCCACUACGCUGUGAGGGUUUGGACACCACCUACCCAGAAAUCAAAUGGUUCAAUGAGGAGAAUUUGAGGAGAGAAGGCAAGAAAGGGAGGAAGAGUUUCUGGNGAUAUUAGAUUAAAUUUAGUUUUACAGUUUUUUCUUCAUUCUUCUUCAAAUAAGGGUUGAGAAUUUCUCAAAAAUCACAAAACAGGAGCGAUAAAGAAAUUAUGAUGAUAACGAACCUGGAUGAACUCAGGACACAUAAAAGACAAGUCUCCGACCAUAAAUUCCGCCCCUUGAAAUACGCGACGAGCUCGAACCAUUUUGUGGNNGCACUGGACGACGGUUUUNGCAGUGNGGGAAGCNUUGGGGCACAGGGCANUGAUGGCAUCGGCAACCCCUUGCCAGUGGGUGGCUUUGAGGUUGGUGUGGCCGAGGGAGUACCACUUGUCGCGGCGUCGAUGAGGGCGAAGGUUUCCUCCGAGGUCCAGAAUGGCGGGGGGAGAUGGCGGAAGGAGGUGGAGGGAAGGGCGGUGAGAGUGAGGAGGAGGUGUCACGGUUUACUCCAUGCAGUGUAGUUCUUCGGAAGAAAAAUGGGAAUAAUCGCAGGGGCUAACCCGGCCCUGAAUCACUUACAACCCACUUGAUGGGGGCUUUGGGGGUCGGGGGCUUAAAAAAAGCCCCCUAAUACGUGGGUCAAUAAAAGUGGGCCAAAUAUAAAAAGGGCCAGGGUCAGCCUUAGGNCUUUAAAAAAUCCUGACAGCUCUACUUGUGGUACUGAUUUUAGUCAAUUUGUAGUUUAGUUUAGCUUUUUAGUUUAGUUUAGCUUUUUANUUAUGUUCUAUUGUGUUUACUUCUCUUAGUUUUGUUCAUAUACAUUGUGUGCUCUGUUGAGUUUAGUUUUUUAGUUCUAUAUUGUCAUAUACAUUUUUGUUCAAUUUUAGUUCUUUUUCAUUUCUGUUUUGAAUAAUCCUGAUGUUGAUUGUCCUGUACAUAUGUUUGUGUUGUUAGGAGUCUUACCCACUCACACAUUNAGGGCAAUGUGCCUCUUAAAUGGGUAGUGGUUUAAAUUUUUUGUUUUGAUGUAAAUAUACCCUGUUUAGUAUUUUUUUUAGUAAUAAUUAGGGGAAAUUUUUUUCAGAAGCUGUUUCUACUUUGGUUUUGUGUUUGGGAGUUCAUAAAUACCCAGUGUAGAUAGCUAUUGUAGUCCUAGUCUUUAAAUAUUUAAUUCUUGUUUGUAAAUACUUAGUUGUUUUGUUGUUUUAGGAUUCAUUUUGGUUGUUUUAUAGGAUAAUUUAGAUUUUAUUUGGUUCAUAGUUUCUGUAGUAAGAAUUUGUUUUAGUUUCUCUUUUGUUUCUUCUAUUUUUGUUUCUUGUUUCACAUUCUGUUUUAGUCUUCAUUUAGAAAUUCCCUUAGGUGUUUUUCAUUUUUCUUAGAUUNCGUUUCAGCUUGUAAAUAGAAAUUACUUUAGGAUUUGCUGGUUUUAAGAUUU
RNAcentral lists this long non-coding RNA (1484 nucleotides) under Vigna radiata. RNAcentral's name for it is "long non-coding RNA (VRAD_LNC002925)". The record is from RNAcentral. Lineage: Eukaryota; Viridiplantae; Streptophyta; Magnoliopsida; Fabales; Fabaceae.